RNAcentral lists this transfer RNA (74 nucleotides) under Marivivens donghaensis. RNAcentral describes it as "tRNA-Gly". It matches the Rfam family "tRNA". From Rfam's summary of the family: Transfer RNA (tRNA) molecules are approximately 80 nucleotides in length. Their secondary structure includes four short double-helical elements and three loops (D, anti-codon, and T loops). RNAcentral also lists the same sequence under 3 other names. Lineage: Bacteria; Pseudomonadati; Pseudomonadota; Alphaproteobacteria; Rhodobacterales; Paracoccaceae. The record is from RNAcentral.
GCGGGUGUUGUGUAAUGGUAAGACCUUAGCCUUCCAAGCUAAUGAUACGGGUUCGAUUCCCGUCACCCGCUCCA